Drosophila miranda is the source of this 2845-nucleotide long non-coding RNA. RefSeq lists it as uncharacterized. The transcript has 3 exons. Lineage: Eukaryota; Metazoa; Arthropoda; Insecta; Diptera; Drosophilidae. The record is from RefSeq and is a predicted model, not a curated record.
AGAGGAAGAGAAUUACUGGUGGAAUUCUAGCAUUAGUGUUUACUGAAACUUUGAAGAGCCAACUACCCUGCCUUUCUAAUUCGACCUAAAAUGGCCUUGUCUCUGCUAUCUUCCUAUAAACGCAAUUUGAAUUACCUUUUGGUUUGAAAGGAGCUAUCUCCCAAGCAUUAUCAUUGUCAUUGCUCAAGGCCAAUUACCUUCGCAUACUCUUCUAUUCGUUUGCCAUUUUUGGCAGUUUUCAGGUAGCUCAGUCAUCGAAUGUGUAGUAGGCGCUGGUAUAGGCAAACAUAUUUUUUUUCGCCUGAACUUAGGCACUAUUUGUUUUUCUUGAUAUAUGUUAGAUUUUCCGUGUCAGGUGUGGUUUAAAUUUGGUAGUCGAUAGCCUAGACUCAGUCUUUCUUUCUCCUCGUGGCUUUUGAAGCGGCAAGUUGUGGUUUCGGAAAAUUUCAGUGUGUCUCGUUCUAGCCAAGAAUAAAUAUACCUAUAAAAGUGAGUACGCACUAUCGACCGCUAAAUGUCUAAACUGUGCCUGUUCCAAAAAGGGAAUUGGCACCUAGUCUACAUAUUACACAGAAUAGUGGCCACUUUACAUCGACUUAAUAGUAGCAAAGUCAACAAGCUGCUUCCGGAGCUUUAAAGUCGUGUAAUAUCCACCAGCUGAUCAGCUCGACAGAUCAGUGAACUUUUGCUGCGCGGGGCCGGCCGGCUGAUCGAGCCAAGAGAGAGGAUUUGACGUGUAACCGGCGGUGUUAUGACCUAGGAAAUCAUAGUAGUACCUAAAUCCAAAGUUCCUACGCUCAGGCUGGGUCAGCGAAAACAAAUCGACGGGCCAGUGCGGAGAUCGGUAACCGCGUGCGAACCUAACCUCAAAUGGAAUUAGUAGCAGUGUCAGAAUAAUUUCUGGUUCAUUUAACCCCCCAUUCCAACGGAAUCUAAGUAGGAUAGCGAGGAGGUCCACAUAUAGUCAGAAAAUAGCCCGUUUGUUUGAAGCUCGAAAGAAAAUAUAAAAUAAAAACAAAAAAAUUGAUAAAGCAACUCGGGGCUGAAGAGAAGCAAGUUUGAGAUCAAAAGUGUCCGACCAGUGAGCUAAUGUCAGCCAGCAGAAGCGGGGGAAGUAACUUUGCAGGUAAACUCCGGUUGAAUUCUCCCUCCCACACAGAGUCACCAGCUACGAAAGAUCUUUCGCCGCGGGAAACCAACUCGUUGUCCGUCGGUCACUGACCUCAAGCUUUUGUCUGAAAACCAGCUGUUCUUUUUCAAAGCAAAAGAAAAUGUAACAAAACAAAAUAAAGGAACCUAAACUAAAAGCGACCCUACCAGAUUACAAACAGCAGUAUGUUAUAAAGGGCCGUUCCUAUUUGCUAAGCAAUCCGUUGGCCGUAGAAAUAUUGCGGUAUAUUUAUAAAUUUUCAGUAAGGAAAAUAAUUAAUAUAUAGUGCUUUAUAUUAUAUUGGUUACUUUUAUAUGUGAACUUAUUCCUAAUUAUAUUAUUUAUUUCUAUGAUUAUCUUUAGUACACCUAUAUGGCAUUAGAAUAAUCGAUUUAUUUCAGUUUGGUCUAAGGUUUUCUUUGUUGUUAGUGUGGGGGAGAAAAGUGUAAAUGAAUUUAGGUUAUAAUAAAACCCGGAUGUCUAUGUGCUAGAGAAUUUUUGUUUAGGAGCCAUGCAGGGAUUGGUGUGGGAGAGUGGGGUUUAACCCCGACGAGAAAAGGGAUCAUCCGUAAGCCAUAUUUUCUCAGGAAUUUGGGUCCGUCGGGUCGGAUAUGCAAUGCGGAAGCCAACUUCCCUUUAAUUCCUUUAUCCCUUCUAAUUCCCCCCAUCCUCCUCCCCCUGACACUAGUCAUACAGUCGUACGCCGGGUAUUGCACGCGAACAAAAAAAAAUUAGUAAGAUAAUGGAUCGACGCGAGCACGUAAAGGAAAGGACCAGUAUAGGAACCCCCCCCCAUACUACCGACAAUACAGCCGGAGCCAGCGCGUGCACCAGUCCUGCCCGAUACACCCCCGACCAGCUCGAGUGGCACAGCCACACACAACAAUCGUUAUAGGUGAUAUGCUACAUUUAUCUUAUUUUGGCGUCCAACGUGGGGAGCGAUCCGGCUUGCCCCAUUGACAAAAUUUACCUGAGUCUUAACACCUGACUUACCUAACUUUUUGUUUGUUUUUUUUGCUUUGCUCGUCUUUCCUGUCCAAGAUAUCCGGCGGAUACUGUGGAUCCAUGGAAGCUAUUCAUGGCCUACAUGGUCUAGUAUCGUGUAGGGUAUAUUGGCGUGUAGUUGGUCCGAUACACUGGAAGUGUUAUAACUUUUAUUGGGUAUAACUCCGUGGGUCGAGCUUAGCCUAACAACUAGUUGAAGAUUGUUUUAGGAACUACUGCUGGGAAGGAGAGCGCGCUCCAAAUCGUUUUGGAUGAAAUUCUACGGAGAUUGUCCCUAAUUAAUAGGGUUUUGGCUGUCCCGAACAGCCCUGAGAAGAUUACCGAGGGUGUAAGCCUCAGUAAGCCUAGGUGACUUCGGACUCCCUUACUACCUGAUGGUUAGUGGAACCAAUCUAGCACCUUCUUCAUCCCCAAUACUUCUGAGCUGACCUUUUAGAUUUCGCUGGAUGAGGGAUUUGUACGAUUAGGAAUACAAUUCCUGCCGCGAACUUUACUUGUGAGCCAGAUUUCAGUUAUAAGUAGGUUACCCCAUUCCUGUCCCUUCCCUACCCGAAAACAAUGCAAUCCGCUUUUACUCUAUUGUUACCCAAAAACGAUUGCAUGGCUCCUAAAUUGUUUUGACAUCUACAACUAUUGAUUUUGAUUUUUUAUACCCGAUACUCAAAAUGAGUAUUGGGGUAUAUUAGAUUU